Molecule: ribosomal RNA, 253 nt
Filed under: uncultured bacterium
Lineage: Bacteria
Description: partial 16S ribosomal RNA
Rfam family: Bacterial small subunit ribosomal RNA
Source: RNAcentral
UACAGAGACUGCAAGCGUUAUUCGGAUUCACUGGGCGUAAAGGGUGCGCAGGUGGUCGGGUAAGUCUGAUGUGAAAUCCCGCAGCUUAACUGCGGAAUGGCAUUGGAUACUAUUCGGCUAGAGGGUUGGAGGGGGGACUGGAAUUCUCGGUGUAGCAGUGAAAUGCGUAGAUAUCGAGAGGAACACCAGUGGCGAAGGCGAGUCCCUGGACAACUCCUGACGCUGAGGCACGAAAGCUAGGGGAGCAAACAGG